This 514-nucleotide long non-coding RNA is filed under the name Coffea arabica (coffee). RNAcentral's name for it is "long non-coding RNA (CARA_LNC004381)". The record is from RNAcentral. Lineage: Eukaryota; Viridiplantae; Streptophyta; Magnoliopsida; Gentianales; Rubiaceae.
UGAGGGCAGAGACAUUAACAAUCUUCCCAGCUUUCACGAAGUCAUCGUACUCCUCAAGUUUAUUGACAAUGGCGUCGAACGAGCAUCCAGUCAUGCGGAAAAUUUCUUCAAAAUACGGGGGAUCAUGUGCUUUAAUGAAAGUGCGUAUGAUUUCGUCCUCAGUCAUCGGUGGCUCGACUUUGGCAGCUAUUUUCCUCCACCUCUUGGCAUAAGUCUUGUGAUCCUCGGAGGGUUUUCUUUUUGUUCCUUCCAACGUGGUUCGUGUCGGAGCCAGCUCGCAGUUAUACUCGUAUUGCUUUACAAAAGCAUUGGACAAGUCAAUCCAGGUUUUUACUUCUUCGGGCUUCAAAUUUGAGUACCAGUCGAGGGCAUCCCCCUCCAGACUUUCCGGGAACAACCUUAGAGGCAGGUUCUCGUCGUCUACAGGCUUUCCUAACUUGUUAGCAAAUAGUCGGAGGUGUGUCUUGGGAUUACCCGUCCCAUCGUACUUGUUAAACUUAGGGGUUUUGAACCC